AGUAACACGUGACUAACCUACCCUGAGAGUGGGGGAUAACUGAGGGAAACCUUAGCUAAUACCGCAUAACACCUACGGGUCAAAGGAGCAAUUCGCUUUAGGAGGGGGUCGCGGCAGAUUAGCUAGUUGGCGGGGUAAUGGCCCACCAAGGCAGUGAUCUGUAUCCGGCCUGAGAGGGCGCACGGACACACUGGAACUGAAACACGGUCCAGACUCCUACGGGAGGCAGCAGUGGGGAAUUUUGCGCAAUGGGGGAAACCCUGACGCAGCAACGCCGCGUGGAGGAUGAAGUCUCUUGGGACGUAAACUCCUUUCGAUGGGGAAGAUUAUGACGGUACCCAUAGAAGAAGCCCCGGCUAACUUCGUGCCAGCAGCCGCGGUAAUACGAGGGGGGCAAGCGUUGUUCGGAUUUAUUGGGCGUAAAGAGCUCGUAGGCGGUUCGACAAGUCGGGUGUUAAACCCCCAGGCUCAACCUGGGGCCGCACCCGAAACUGUCGUGACUAGAGUUUGGUAGGG
Molecule: ribosomal RNA, 516 nt
Filed under: uncultured bacterium
Lineage: Bacteria
Description: bacterial SSU rRNA
Rfam family: Bacterial small subunit ribosomal RNA
Source: RNAcentral